Molecule: ribosomal RNA, 235 nt
Filed under: uncultured bacterium
Lineage: Bacteria
Description: partial 16S ribosomal RNA
Rfam family: Bacterial small subunit ribosomal RNA
Source: RNAcentral
UGGCGGACGGGUGAGUAAUGUCUGGGAACCUGCCUGAUGGAGGGGGAUAACUACUGGAAACGGUAGCUAAUACCGCAUAACGUCGCAAGACCAAAGAGGGGGACCUUAGGGCCUUUUGCCAUCGGAUGUGCCCAGAUGGGAUUAGCUAGUAGGUGGGGUAACGGCUCACCUAGGCGACGAUCCCUAGCUGGUCUGAGAGGAUGACCAGCCACACUGGAACUGAGACACGGUCCAG